AGAGCGCUUACGGCUGACCAUAGCUUACAAAUGUUUGAGAGUGUACACAGUGUCUUGACUUUCGCCUUCAUUAUAAUAUGAGCUGUUACAAACCCUGUAAAAUCUCUAGUAAACUGAUAAAAUCCCAACACAUGUGUGAACCUCCUUGCCCCUAUAAUUAACAGUCCCUCACCCACGGGCAUUAGUGUCUAGCUUCUUCUCACAAUUAAAUUCCGAUCAUGUGAUGGUGUGUCACCUGAUAAGAAGUAAUUAGUUGUGUAGCUAGAAAGAUAGGUGACAAGUGUGAUUGUGUAGAGUCAAGAAUCGAAAACCCACAGCAUUCGUGUAUGUGUAUAUAAUUAUAGUAUGGUCGGAGUUUCAUGGAAUUCUACUACUUCUCUGGAAAUCCCUGGCCGGCAAUUCAUUGGUUCACUGGAUUUCAAUUUUAUUUCUAGUUGUUGUUCUAUCUGGCGAGGUAUUUUGUCUACCAUAGCGAAUAGUGGAAUAGCCGUAACUUAGUGAGAGCAUGAAUAGCAGUAAUACAGCUAAUGAGUUGUGUACAUAGUUUGGUCACCCUAAACUGAUUUGAGGUCUACCAAAAACAAGCAAACUCAAGAGCUGGUUUUGUUUCUGUGUAAAUGUUUCCUCUCUGGCAAUGAGUAACCUAAUCAAUUAGCUAAACCACGAAGCUGCCGUACAUGGUUUAGGUUAAAGUAUUGUGUCCACUGCAAAUCUCCUGUUUUAAAAGUGAGUUUCUCCUAUGCAUAUGUUCUUAUAUUGCCUGUAUAGUUCACUAACAUGGCCAUGGUCUAUCCUAUACAUGUAGCAGUUGUAUGUAGAACUGCAUGACCAUUGUGUGUAAGGUAAUUAGGUUUUAAUUGACCAUUUUUUUCCUGUGUAAAAAAUAUAUCAUGCAGUGCAGAGUUUUUCAGUUUUGCCUACUUCCCCAUGUGAUCCUGUUUCCAGCUCUCUAUAUUAUAAACUAUAAACAUGUGCGUAACACUGAGUGUAUAUACUGCAGCAUACCGCUUACACUAGCCGCUAAUGGCUAAUCUAAUUCAGCUCAUUAGCCUCAUUAUCAUUUGGUCAGUAAGUCUGCAGAGAUAGUGAGACCAUGGAGUGUGUACUCCCUUGUUCCCAGGGUACUGGCUCUAAUUGAAUUAUAAGUAAUGUGAUUAUCUGAAGAGAUGGGAUACCAUGCAGGAAGGAAAGAGUUGGAUUUUCUGGCAGUAUUUUUACCUAGUCCUAUAUUUGCACCCUUCUACACUUCAGAUUAAUGCAUAUUAUAUGCAGGGCUAUUUCCCUCUAAAACAAUGAUCCUAUUUAAGCAUAGAGUUUCUAUUCCACUUUAGGCCGACUGACUCUUUAGGCUGACUGAUUAAUGCACAACAACCCAAUCAAAAUAAUGGGAAAAGGAAUUGAUGACAAGAAGAGUGCCACUUCAGAUUAUCAGUUGCUUGAAAUCAUGAUGCAUGUCAAUAUAUAAUAGUCACGUAUCAAUAAUUGUUGCAUGCAUG
Halichondria panicea is the source of this 1496-nucleotide long non-coding RNA. RefSeq lists it as uncharacterized. NCBI's taxonomy places the organism in Eukaryota, Metazoa, Porifera, Demospongiae, Suberitida, Halichondriidae. The record is from RefSeq and is a predicted model, not a curated record. The transcript has 2 exons.